Molecule: ribosomal RNA, 253 nt
Filed under: uncultured bacterium
Lineage: Bacteria
Description: partial 16S ribosomal RNA
Rfam family: Bacterial small subunit ribosomal RNA
Source: RNAcentral
UACGAAGGGGGCCAGCGUUGUUCGGAAUUACUGGGCGUAAGGCGCACGUAGGCUGAUUGAUAAGUUAGGGGUGAAAUCCCGGGGCUCAACCUCGGAACUGCCUCUGAUACUGUUAGUCUCGAGUCCGAUAGAGGUGAGUGGAAUUCCUAGUGUAGAGGUGAAAUUCGUAGGUAUUAGGAAGAACACCAGUGGCGAAGGCGGCUCACUGGAUCGGUACUGACGCUGAGGUGCGAAAGCGUGGGGAGCAAACAGG